This 31-nucleotide non-coding RNA is filed under the name Mus musculus (house mouse). The record is from RNAcentral. Lineage: Eukaryota; Metazoa; Chordata; Mammalia; Rodentia; Muridae.
UUNCAGGAAUGUGCCAUAAUGCUAUUUAUGC